RNAcentral lists this ribosomal RNA (497 nucleotides) under uncultured bacterium. RNAcentral describes it as "partial 16S ribosomal RNA". It matches the Rfam family "Bacterial small subunit ribosomal RNA", at positions 28 to 507 of the family's 1533-position model. The record is from RNAcentral.
GAUGAACGCUGGCGGCGUGCCUAAUACAUGCAAGUCGAGCGAACAGACGAGGAGCUUGCUCCUCUGACGUUAGCGGGGGACGGGUGGGUAACACGUGGAUCACCUACCUAUAAGUCUGGGAUAACUACGGGAAACAGGAGCUACUAACAGCUAAUAUAUUGAACCGCAUGGUUCAAUAGAGAAAGACGGUUUUGCUGUCACUAAUAGAUGGAUUCGCGCCGGAUUAGCUAGUUGGUAAGGUAACGGCCUACCAAGGCAACGAUGCGUAGCCGACCUGAGAGGGUGAUCGGCCACACUGGAACUGAGACACGGUCCAGACUCCUACGGGAGGCAGCAGUAGGGAAUCUUCCGCAAUGGGCGAAAGCCUGACGGAGCAACGCCGCGUGAGUGAAGAAGGUCUUCGGAUCGUAAAACUCUGUUAUUAGGGAAGAACAAAUGUGUAAGUAUCUAUGCACGUCUUGACGGUACCUAAUGAGAAAGCCACGGCUAACUACGUG